This 86-nucleotide transfer RNA is filed under the name Pelagibacterium lacus. RNAcentral describes it as "Pelagibacterium sp. XYN52 tRNA-Leu". It matches the Rfam family "tRNA". From Rfam's summary of the family: Transfer RNA (tRNA) molecules are approximately 80 nucleotides in length. Their secondary structure includes four short double-helical elements and three loops (D, anti-codon, and T loops). The record is from RNAcentral. Lineage: Bacteria; Pseudomonadati; Pseudomonadota; Alphaproteobacteria; Hyphomicrobiales; Devosiaceae.
GCGGGCGUGGUGGAAUGGUAGACACACAAGACUUAAAAUCUUGAGGCUGUAUAGCCGUGCGGGUUCGAGUCCCGCCGCCCGCACCA